RNAcentral lists this ribosomal RNA (273 nucleotides) under uncultured bacterium. Its description in RNAcentral is "partial 16S ribosomal RNA". It matches the Rfam family "Bacterial small subunit ribosomal RNA", at positions 524 to 796 of the family's 1533-position model. The record is from RNAcentral.
UACGGGGGGGGUAAGCGUUGUUCGGAAUUACUGGGCGUAAAGGGCUCGUAGGCGGCCAACUAAGUCAGACGUGAAAUCCCUCAGCUUAACUGGGGAACUGCGUCUGAUACUGGAUGGCUUGGAUUCGGGAGAGGAAUGCGGAAUUCCAGGUGUAGCGGUGAAAUGCGUAGAUAUCUGGAGGAACACCGGUGGCGAAGGCGGCAUUCUGGACCGACAUUGACGCUGAGGAGCGAAAGCCAGGGGAGCAAACGGGAUUAGAAACCCCCGUAGUCC